RNAcentral lists this transfer RNA (74 nucleotides) under Coprobacter fastidiosus. RNAcentral describes it as "tRNA-Thr". It matches the Rfam family "tRNA". From Rfam's summary of the family: Transfer RNA (tRNA) molecules are approximately 80 nucleotides in length. Their secondary structure includes four short double-helical elements and three loops (D, anti-codon, and T loops). Further hydrogen bonds mediate the characteristic L-shaped molecular structure. tRNAs have two regions of fundamental functional importance: the anti-codon, which is responsible for specific mRNA codon recognition, and the 3' end, to which the tRNAs corresponding amino acid is attached (by aminoacyl-tRNA synthetases). tRNAs cope with the degeneracy of the genetic code in two manners: having more than one tRNA (with a specific anti-codon) for a particular amino acid; and 'wobble' base-pairing, i.e. permitting non-standard base-pairing at the 3rd anti-codon position. The record is from RNAcentral. RNAcentral also lists the same sequence under 7 other names. Lineage: Bacteria; Pseudomonadati; Bacteroidota; Bacteroidia; Bacteroidales; Barnesiellaceae.
GCCGAUGUAGCUCAGUUGGCCAGAGCACGUGAUUUGUAAUCUCGGGGUCGUGGGUUCGAAUCCCUCCAUCGGCU